Spinacia oleracea (spinach) is the source of this 770-nucleotide long non-coding RNA. RefSeq lists it as uncharacterized. The transcript has 3 exons. Lineage: Eukaryota; Viridiplantae; Streptophyta; Magnoliopsida; Caryophyllales; Amaranthaceae. The record is from RefSeq and is a predicted model, not a curated record.
AACCCCUUCCCUUCUCCUUCACUUUCACGUGAACCAGGACCCUCAACCCUCAACCUCAUUGUUGCUUCCGCCACGCCGCCAAACCAGUCGUCGGAGACCACCGUUGUCCCUCACCGCAGCUUCAAACGCCGGUAACUCCUCCAUCUCUUGCUUCAUUGUUCUUGCUUCUCCUUCGUUCUUAUUCUUAUCCUCUUGGUUGUUUUUGUUGCUCUCUGCCGCCACCACCACUGCGCAACUGGUUGCGCCGCACCAUCACAGCCACCGUGCACUGUUGCUGCACCGCCCAACUCGCCAACCAACGUUUUCCAUCAUCCUCUUUCUUGUUUCUUCAUUUUCACGACAGCAGCCAAGCACGACUAAGUGCGACCACCGUAGUCACCACCACCAGGCUCCAGCCGCGUCGCCCGUUCCCCGCGACCACCGCCCUGUGCCGCGCCGCCUGUGCUCCGCCGGCCAGCCUCCUCUCUCCUCUUUAAUUCUUGGUGGAGAAUUCUCCGUAGGCGACUUUUGAAUUAUUAAAGUGGUCUUGCAGUUUGUUUACACAAGUCUCUAAGGAUCAAUAAGCAUUGUCCAUCUGCAGGUUUGAAGAUGUUGCAUCAUUGGGAUCGGGAAUAGAGAGCUUGUAUUUAGUUUUGAUUUGCUAAGUUGACUUGGGUUUGUUUAAUUGGACUUUAAACUGGUCGUACUAUUUAUAUUUCCUUAUUUUUUUGUUUAUUGGUUUUUGGGAUUAAACCUGUAAUCGAUUAUUUAUAAACCUAAAAUUAGUUUUA